AAAAAUCAGAGCAAUAGAUCGAACAAGGAAGAAGAAGAUGGAGGUGGAGGAGAAGAUUGCAAAAAAACGAAGGAUUUAGAAUCUGCAAACAAAAUUCAAGAUCUGAGGAAUAUGAAAUCAACAGGUUUGACAGAUGAGAAUUUGAAAGGUUUUGUUGGAGAAACAGCGAAAAAACAACAGUUGAUUGACUUGGAUUUAAACAAAAAAAUUUCACAAUCAGGUUUACAAUUAAUUGAGCAAAAUUACAAUAGGACAAGAUCAUUUAUAAUAGAUGCAAAGAAAAGUAGUACACGAUCAAGUACUGCACAGUCAGGUAUUUUGAAGGAUUUAAGAGAGAGAGACAAAAACAUUGAGAAGAAGACAAUAUCAAAAGAUGAAGGACUUGGGUUACUGGAGCAAAAUUAUAAUACGAUGAGAUCAUAUAUGCUUGAAGAUGGCAAAGGUGAUACAAAAACUGGAAACACUCAAAGAGAUUCAGAAAUUGACAAGGGAAAGAGAAUAGCUGUUAUCGAGAAUGUAAAAACAAUGGAAAAUGAAAGAAUUCAAUUUGAAGAAGAUAUGUUAGGAGAACAGGAUAUGAACUAUGCAGAAGAAAUACAUCAAACCAAUGUUCUAUCACUAUUGGAUCAAGAUUUCAUUGAUGAUAAAUUUACUUCAUACACUAGUCUAAUGGAACAUAUUAUAUCUUCACAACCUACAAGAUGCAAUGAUUUGGAGGUUGAACAAAAUGGAAAUGAUUCUAUGCAGACUGUCAUUGAUGCAAAAAAUAUGUCUGAGGUGAUUCCAGAAAUUAAUUUUGAAGCUCAAGUUGAUUCUGUACAACCUUGGUCUCUAGAUUUGUUCAAUCUACAAGAAUCUAUUGAGCAACAGAGUUCAAUUCAGUCUAGUGAUAAAGGCGAAAGUACUACUGAAGUUGAUCCUGAUUUGAAUGAAGAAUUUCUAACAGAAGAAGAUAUUGAAUAG
This 963-nucleotide long non-coding RNA is filed under the name Oryza sativa Indica Group (long-grained rice). RNAcentral describes it as "lncRNA OsMH63_02G000760". The record is from RNAcentral. Lineage: Eukaryota; Viridiplantae; Streptophyta; Magnoliopsida; Poales; Poaceae.